GCGUGAUUAAUUAAGCAUUAACCAUCAGUGGAUCACAAAAGCUCAUAUAUAUUGACUACAUAAAUUUCUUUACAUAUACAAAUAGACAAAAUACAUUAAAAUCUCUAGUCGUUUCCCACCCACUGGUCCAGCCUAUUCUUGGAUGACAUCUUCUGGGCAUACUUAAGUUACACCGACUGCAUCUAAGAAAUAGAGGAGACAAGGGUGAGUACGAUAAAUCAUACUCAGCAAGCAAAUACUUCACUAUUCAAUAAGGAGCAAUGGUAUGAUGGUGUAGAUCAACAGACGAACUGAAUUCAGAGGAUAACAAUGUAACAACCAUUGGAAUCAUAUUUUGAUGUAAAUGGACAAAAGAACAAAAUACCAGAUUUAGUAAAAACAACAAGGAAUCUAUUGGCGUCACACAUGACCGCAAGCUUCCCAAUCCGGGAGUCACAGAGGUGAAAUUUCACACUUUUACGCUCUUAAGAGGGGUACUCCGACGUCGACAGCCUCGACUAGAACCACACAGGUUCCAGAAGAGCAGAGCUCUUUUACCCACUAAGUCCCGGACACCUGUACCUACUUAUGUCGGUCGCUCCUACGGAUCCAUCACCGACACGUUCCCGAACAAGAUCCGACCUUAACGGAGAGCCCAGACAGUCCCAUACCUAAACUGUGACCGGUACAAUACGUUUGCCGUCGUGACACCAAUAUAGAUGGAUGUGUGUUUGAAUCAACAUUAGGACCACUGAAGUAUCGGUCAAAGACAAUACACUCAUGGCUUUUCAUGAGUUCCUCCACAAUACUCUGAUUCCAUCAACAAAUGGAUUAUGAGAAAAACACAUACCUCUUUCAAGGAUCAAUAGAGGAUCAACAAAGAUCAAGGUGCAAUGAUAUUACCAGAUAAUCAAGCAAGACAACAAUAAGGAGAGAUCAGGGAGUUUAGCAAAGCAGCUACUUGCCUCAGAUAAUAUGAUUUCUCGUUUAGAAUAAUAUUCUGCAAGAAGAUGAAACUCCAUCAUCUUUGUAUAAAAUCUGACAAACGCGCAUAUACUAAUAUUCUUCUGACGUAUGGCUUCGUUCUUCCCUCCAUCAGCAUUUACACGAUCUAUAUAUCUUCAAACAUGGACGCAUGCAUACUUGUAUUCUUCAUCUCUCUUCUCUUCGCUCUCUCCGCUGGUAUGCUCUAUUUCUCUCAUGCUCUCUCCUAGUAUCUUCUCUUCGCUCUAUUUCUCUCAUGCUCUCACUCUUGGUGAUGAGGAUGUGCAAAACGAGUAGCAGCAGCUAUUUAUAGAUGGUGAGCCCAGAGUGAACUCAGCCGAGCUAUUCUUGAAGCACACGAUCAUCUAGACUCUACCUAUUACGUGGCAUGCAUGCCUUGGUCUACGUGGAGAACCUGGUAAAAGAUCUAAGCCGCAAUGGCCUUUGACCCUUGCCCCUUGACCCUUCGAACUGCUGCCCCUUUUGCUUGUGCAAAAGCCAAACAAACCUGACCACUAUACAAAACCUCCACGUAGCAAUUUCUUUGUCCUAAAUAUCGAAGGAUGCUGCCAGCACAACCUAGCUUCAUCUAGUACCAGGCCACGUUGGCCUCAUGC
Molecule: long non-coding RNA, 1580 nt
Filed under: Triticum aestivum (bread wheat)
Lineage: Eukaryota; Viridiplantae; Streptophyta; Magnoliopsida; Poales; Poaceae
Description: long non-coding RNA (TAES_LNC012247)
Source: RNAcentral